RNAcentral lists this long non-coding RNA (383 nucleotides) under Piliocolobus tephrosceles (Ugandan red Colobus). RNAcentral's name for it is "lncRNA (ENSPTEG00000026412.1)". The record is from RNAcentral. Lineage: Eukaryota; Metazoa; Chordata; Mammalia; Primates; Cercopithecidae.
GGACGCGCCGGCUCCGGGCGGGCGUGGUCCCUCCUGCGGGCGCCUGGGUUGGCCGGGCGGACCCCGGAAGAGGGGGAGUCGCGGGGACGCAGCGACAGAGUCGGGGUCUGGCCGCGGCCGCCCACGCCUCCCAGGGGUUGCAGGCCUGGGCGCCGGGGUUGGACCAGUCUUCCGGGCAUUGCACGCCCUGGUUUGGUCUGUACCCAUGGUUUGUGGCGGGGCAAGAUGUUAAGUUGGGUAACACCGAGGUGAGCCGCGGUCCUCGGCACCAGAUGAAGAACCACUGUCUCAAUAAGAUUAUUAAAAACUCCAAUUUGUGUCUGUGUAACUCAACGUGGGAGCCUGGAACCAUGUUUACUCUUCUGAUGACCCUGAAAGCCUGA